RNAcentral lists this ribosomal RNA (243 nucleotides) under uncultured Actinomycetales bacterium. RNAcentral describes it as "partial 16S ribosomal RNA". It matches the Rfam family "Bacterial small subunit ribosomal RNA", at positions 88 to 334 of the family's 1533-position model. The record is from RNAcentral. Lineage: Bacteria; Bacillati; Actinomycetota; Actinomycetes; Actinomycetales.
UGCUCGAGUGGCGAACGGGUGAGUAACACGUGGGUGAUCUGCCCUGCACUUCGGGAUAAGCUUGGGAAACUGGGUCUAAUACCGGAUAGGACCAUCGUUUAGUGUCGGUGGUGGAAAGUUUUUUCGGUGUGGGAUGAGCUCGCGGCCUAUCAGCUUGUUGGUGGGGUAAUGGCCUACCAAGGCGUCGACGGGUAACCGGCCUGAGAGGGUGUACGGCCACAUUGGGACUGAGAUACGGCCCAG